GUUUGGAAGACAGAUUUAUGCUUCUUAUGAUUAAGACACAAGUUGGAUAGGAAUCCUUCAGGUUUUAAGUAACCACUUAAACUGAUUCCAGAAUGACAGAAUCUCUAGCUUCUCCUGCUGCGUUUCCCACACCCCAUGCUGUGUCUCCACACCCCAUGCUGCAUCUCCCACAUCCCAUGCAGCGUCUCCACACCCCAUGCUGCGUCCCCACACACCAUGCAGUGUCUCCACACCUCCACACCCCAUGCUGCAUCCCCACAUCCCAUACUGCAUCUCCCACAUCCCAUACUGCAUCUCCCGCACCCCAUGGUGCAGCUCCCACAUCCCAUGCUGCAUCCCCACACCCCACACUGCAUCUCUCACACCCCAUGCUGCCUCUCCACACCCCAUGCUACCUCUCCACACCCCAUGCUGCCUCUCCACACCCCUCCACAUCCCAUGCUGUGUCUCCACACCCCAUGCUGCGUCUCCACACCCCUCCACAUCCCAUGCUGUGUCUCCACAUCCCAUGCUGCGUCUCCACACCGCUCCACAUCCCAUGCUGCGUCUCCACACCCCUCCACAUCCCAUGCUGCGUCUCCACACCCCAUGCUGCAUCUCCUGCACCCCAUGCUGCCUCUCCCGCACCCUGUGCUGCAUCUCCACACCCCAUGCUGUGUCUCCACACCCCAUUCUGGGUCUCCACAUCACAUGCUGCGUCUCCCACACCCCAUGCUGCAUCCCCACACCCCAUGCUGCGUCUCCCACACCCCAUGCUGCAUCCCCACACCCCAUGCUGCGUCUCUACACCCCAUGCUGCGUCUCCACACCCCAUGAUGCAUCUCCAUACUGCAUGCUGCAUCUCAUGCACCCCAUGCUGCGUCUCCACACCCUAUGAUGUGUCUCCGCACCCCAUGCUCAUCCCUGCACCCCAUGUUGCGUCUCCACACCCCAUGCUCAUCCCUGUACCUCAUGCUGCAUCUGCCACACCCCAUGCUGUGUCUUCACACCCCACGCUGCAUCUCCCCCACCCCAUGCUCCAUCUCCACACCCCAUGUUGCAUCUCCACACCCCAUGCUGCAUCUCCAUACCCCUUGCUGUGUCUCCACACCCCCUGCUGCGUCUCCACACCCCAUGCUGCAUCUCCAUACCCCUUGCUGUGUCUCCACACCCCAUGCUGCGUCUCCACACCCCAUGCUGCAUCUGCAUACCCCAUGCUGUGUCUCCACACCCCAUGCUUGCUGGUUUUUCCCUUGUAAUGAGAAUGAGCUUUAUGCACUUGAGCCUGACCCUUG
Molecule: long non-coding RNA, 1274 nt
Filed under: Macaca mulatta (Rhesus monkey)
Lineage: Eukaryota; Metazoa; Chordata; Mammalia; Primates; Cercopithecidae
Description: lncRNA (ENSMMUG00000058113.1)
Source: RNAcentral